CCUACGGGUGGCAGCAGUGGGGAAUAUUGCACAAUGGGGGAAACCCUGAUGCAGCGACGCCGCGUGGGCGAAGAAGUAUUUCGGUAUGUAAAGCCCUAUCAGCAGGGAAGAAGAAAUGACGGUACCUGAGUAAGAAGCACCGGCUAAAUACGUGCCAGCAGCCGCGGUAGACGUAUGGUGCAAGCGUUAACCGGAUUUACGGGGUGGAAAGGGAGCGCAGGCGGGAAGGCAAGCCUGAUGUGAAAGCCCGCGGCCCAACCGCGGGACUGCAUUGGGAACUACCGGGCUGGAGUGCCGGAGAGGUAGGCGGAAUUCCUAGUGUAGCGGUGAAAUGCGUAGAUAUUAGGAGGAACACCAGUGGCGAAGGCGGCCUACUGGACGGUGACUGACGCUGAGGCUCGAAAGCGUGGGGAGCAAACAGGAUUAGAUACCCGGGUAGUC
This 441-nucleotide ribosomal RNA is filed under the name uncultured bacterium. RNAcentral's name for it is "partial 16S ribosomal RNA". It matches the Rfam family "Bacterial small subunit ribosomal RNA", at positions 338 to 795 of the family's 1533-position model. The record is from RNAcentral.